UACGGAGGGUGCAAGCGUUAUCCGGAUUCACUGGGUUUAAAGGGUGCGUAGGUGGGCUGGUAAGUCAGUGGUGAAAUCUCCGGGCUUAACCCGGAAACUGCCAUUGAUACUACAAGUCUUGAAUGUCGUGGAGGUGAGCGGAAUAUGUCAUGUAGCGGUGAAAUGCUUAGAUAUGACAUAGAACACCAAUUGCGAAGGCAGCUCACUACACGGAUAUUGACACUGAGGCGCGAAAGCGUGGGGAGCAAACAGG
This 253-nucleotide ribosomal RNA is filed under the name uncultured bacterium. RNAcentral describes it as "partial 16S ribosomal RNA". It matches the Rfam family "Bacterial small subunit ribosomal RNA", at positions 524 to 776 of the family's 1533-position model. The record is from RNAcentral.